AGCAGCAGCCGCGGUAACACGAAGGGUGCAAGCGUUAAUCGGAAUUACUGGGCGUAAAGCGUGCGUAGGUGGUGGUUUAAGUCCGUUGUGAAAGCCCUGGGCUCAACCUGGGAAUUGCAGUGGAUACUGGGUCACUAGAGUGUGGUAGAGGAUAGUGGAAUUUCCGGUGUAGCAGUGAAAUGCGUAGAGAUCGGAAGGAACAUCUGUGGCGAAGGCGACUAUCUGGGCCAACACUGACACUGAGGCACGAAAGCGUGGGGAGCAAACAGGAUUAGAUACCCCCGUAGUCCCUGUCUCUUAUAC
RNAcentral lists this ribosomal RNA (303 nucleotides) under uncultured bacterium. Its description in RNAcentral is "partial 16S ribosomal RNA". It matches the Rfam family "Bacterial small subunit ribosomal RNA", at positions 507 to 807 of the family's 1533-position model. The record is from RNAcentral.